GUUGCAUCUACAGCACCAACUACCUGGGCAGAGAAGCAGAGCCGGCUCUGUGUGCUUCAAGAAGUUUCUGAAGAUCCCCAGGUUGCUGUGACUAUAAAGAGAUCAUGGCUGCUGUGAUGUCUGUAGCAUGUCCAUCAGGAUCAAUGCGCAGUGAAACUGGACUGUUCAUCUGAAUGACGUCAGACAUCUGGAGGCAAAGGCGGGAAACAGACAUUGUCAGAUAGCCGAUGGGUUCCUUGGAAGCACUGGGACAUCAGAACACCUUUUGGGGCUCCGAGCUGCAGCGUCUUUCAGGCAGGAGGUAUUUCAUCUUCACAACAUCUGGAACUGUCAGAGAGGUAACGCCGCAGACCCCAGCAGAUGCCGCUCCUCUACAUGAAAGUGCACCCACAAAUCACGGCCGGGAUCGCACAACAACACAAGUGUUCCGCAGGCGGCGACGGGGAGAAGGACGCCCGGGGAAGGCAGGAGAGCUGACGGUAACCCCUGCCCCCCGCCACUUCUAUGGCGGCAUCAACCCCUUGAAACAACUGCCGUGUGACUCCCCACCAUGGGGCUCACAACCGCCAGCAAGCUUGGAUGAGAAAGGGCUGCUUCCUCCCCCCCUUCUGGGGUACAGGCUCAAACACAUUUUAAAAACCUGUGGCUCAGUGCAUCGCUUGAAAUUUUGGUGCAGCUGCGUGCCAGAGCACUGUGGGAGAAAUAAAAGAUGAUGUCACAGAGGAUUAUCCAGUGUCACUGAAAGACAGAUUUGGUAAG
RNAcentral lists this long non-coding RNA (759 nucleotides) under Oryctolagus cuniculus (rabbit). RNAcentral describes it as "lncRNA (ENSOCUG00000032018.1)". Lineage: Eukaryota; Metazoa; Chordata; Mammalia; Lagomorpha; Leporidae. The record is from RNAcentral.